AAAGUACUCCCUCCGUCCCAAAAUUCUUGUCUUAGAUUUGUCUAGAUACGGAUGUAUCAAGUCACAUUUUAGUAUUAGAUACAUUCGUAUCUACAAAAAUCUAAGACAAGAAAUGUGGGACAUAGGUAGUAGUUG
Triticum aestivum (bread wheat) is the source of this 135-nucleotide non-coding RNA. NCBI's taxonomy places the organism in Eukaryota, Viridiplantae, Streptophyta, Magnoliopsida, Poales, Poaceae. The record is from Rfam.